ACGCUCGACACCUACGAGGCAGCAGUGGGGAAUAUUGCACAAUGGGGGAAACCCUGAUGCAGCAACGCCGCGUGAAGGAAGACGGUUUUCGGAUUGUAAACUUCUGUUCUUAGUGAAGAUAGUGACGGUAGCUAAGGAGCAAGCCACGGCUAACUACGUGCCAACAGCCGCGGUAAUCUGAGCGGGCUGGCAAGGC
Molecule: ribosomal RNA, 196 nt
Filed under: uncultured bacterium
Lineage: Bacteria
Description: partial 16S ribosomal RNA
Rfam family: Bacterial small subunit ribosomal RNA
Source: RNAcentral